This 1506-nucleotide long non-coding RNA is filed under the name Eucalyptus grandis. RNAcentral's name for it is "long non-coding RNA (EGRA_LNC006507)". The record is from RNAcentral. Lineage: Eukaryota; Viridiplantae; Streptophyta; Magnoliopsida; Myrtales; Myrtaceae.
GAUUGUUAGAUUCUCUUUCCGAAGUUUAUUUUGACAAAAACAAUCUCAGAGGUCCUAUCCCUGCUUCACUUGGAAAAUUAGGCAACUUAACAAAAUUGGGCAUAUCACAAAAUGACCUUUCUGGUCCCAUUCCAAGAGAGAUAGGUGACCUAAGAAGAUUGAAGUUUCUUUACUUAUGGAGGAACCAACUUUCGGGAUCCAUACCUGCAGAGAUUGGGAGUCUAACCGAUCUUAUUGAAUUACAUUUUUAUGAUAAUAAGUUGGUCGGGCGUAUCCCUGCUUCACUAGGAAACCUAAGUAGUCUAAAUGUUCUCUAUCUUUUCGGAAACCAAUUUUCAGGGUCCAUUCCUCCUUCUCUUGGAAAAUUAGGCAACUUAAGAAAUUUGAGCAUAUCAGAGAAUGACCUUUCUGGUCCCAUUCCAAGAGAGAUAGGUGACCUAAGAAGAUUGAAGUUUCUUAACUUAUGGAGGAAUCAACUUUCGGGAUCCAUACCUGUAGAGAUUGGGAGGCUAACCGAUCUUAUUGAAUUAGCAUUUUCUAAUAAUAAGUUGGUUGGGAGUAUCCCCGCUUCGCUAGGAAACCUAAGCGGUCUAAAUGCUCUCUAUCUUUACAGUAACCAACUUUCGGGAUCCAUACCUGCAGAGAUUGGGAGUCUAACCGAUCUUAUUGAAUUACAUUUUUAUGAUAAUAAGUUGGUCGGGUGUAUCCCUGCUUCACUAGGAAACCUAAGCAAUCUAAAUGUCCUCUAUCUUUACAAAAACCAACUUUCGGGAUCCAUACCUGCAGAGAUUGGGAGGCUAACCGAUCUUAUUGACCUAGAAUUUUCUGAUAAUAAGUUGGUCGGGCGUAUCCCUGCUUCACUAGGAAACCUAAGUAGUCUAAAUGUUCUCUAUCUUUUCGGAAACCAAUUUUCAGGGUCCAUUCCUCCUUCUCUUGGAAAAUUAGGCAACUUAAUAAAUUUGAGCCUAGCAAAGAAUGACCUUUCUGGUCCCAUUCCAAGAGAGAUAGGUGACCUAAGAAGAUUGAAGUUUCUUUACUUAUUGACGAACCAACUUUCGGGAUCCAUACCUGCAGAGAUUGGGAGGCUAACCGAUCUUAUUGACCUAGAUUUUUCUGAUAAUAAGUUGGUCGGGCGUAUCCCUGCUUCACUAGGAAAUCUAAGCAGUCUACAUGUCCUCUAUCUUUACAAAAACCAACUUUCGGGAUCCAUACCUGCAGAGAUUGAGAGGCUAACCGAUCUUAUUGACUUAGCAUUUUCUGAUAAUAAGUUGGUCGGGCGUAUCCCUGCUUCACUAGGAAACCUAAGCAGUCUAAAUGUCCUCUAUCUUUACCAAAACCAACUUUCGGGAUCCAUACCUUCAGCGAUUGGGAGGCUAACCAAUCUUAUUGAAUUAGAUUUUGCUGAUAAUACUUUGAGUGGUUCAAUCCCUGCAUCAAUUGGAAGCAUGGUCAAUUUAACUAUGUUACGCCUUAGAGAUAACAACUUUCUCGGUAUCUUGCCUCCCG